AAGUUAUAUUGGAUGAUUAAAUGGUUUUGAAAACCAUUGAAAAGUGUUCGAUUCACUUGUAACUUU
RNAcentral lists this transfer RNA (66 nucleotides) under Amphioctopus neglectus. RNAcentral's name for it is "tRNA-Ser". Lineage: Eukaryota; Metazoa; Mollusca; Cephalopoda; Octopoda; Octopodidae. The record is from RNAcentral.